RNAcentral lists this unclassified non-coding RNA (298 nucleotides) under plant metagenome. RNAcentral's name for it is "partial contains 5.8S ribosomal RNA, internal transcribed spacer 2, and large subunit ribosomal RNA". The stretch from base 1 to 105 matches the Rfam family "5.8S ribosomal RNA", at positions 50 to 154 of the family's 154-position model. The record is from RNAcentral.
GAAAUGCGAUAAGUAAUGUGAAUUGCAGAAUUCAGUGAAUCAUCGAAUCUUUGAACGCACAUUGCGCCCCCUGGUAUUCCGGGGGGCAUGCCUGUUCGAGCGUCAUUUCACCACUCAAGCCUCGCUUGGUAUUGGGCAACGCGGUCCGCCGCGUGCCUCAAAUCGACCGGCUGGUUCUUCUGUCCCCUAAGCGUUGUGGAAACUAUUCGCUAAAGGGUGUUCGGGAGGCUACGCCGUAAAACAACCCCAUUUCUAAGGUUGACCUCGGAUCAGGUAGGGAUACCCGCUGAACUUAAGC